GACGAACGCUGGCGGCGUGCUUAACACAUGCAAGUCGAACGAAGUGGCGAACGGGUGAGUAACGCGUAAUCAACCUGCCCUUCAGAGGGGGACAACAGUUGGAAACGACUGCUAAUACCGCAUACUGAAGGAGGGGAUUGCGUCUGAUGUGCUAGUUGGAGGGGUAACGGCCAACCAAGGCGAGGAUCAGUAGCCGGGCUGAGUGGAGUAACUUGCCACUUGGUACUGAGAACCGGUCCAGACUUCUACGGGAGGCAGGAGGGGGGAAGUUUCCGCCAUUGACGAAAGUCUGACGGAGCAACGCCCAGGUGGUGAUGACGGCCUUCGGGUUUUAAAGCUCUGUUAAUCGGGACGCGGUACCGGAAUAGAAAGCCACGGCUAACUACGUGCCAGCAGCCGCGGUAAUAC
Molecule: ribosomal RNA, 408 nt
Filed under: uncultured bacterium
Lineage: Bacteria
Description: partial 16S ribosomal RNA
Rfam family: Bacterial small subunit ribosomal RNA
Source: RNAcentral